Long non-coding RNA from Lycium barbarum (goji berry), 819 nucleotides. RefSeq lists it as uncharacterized. NCBI's taxonomy places the organism in Eukaryota, Viridiplantae, Streptophyta, Magnoliopsida, Solanales, Solanaceae. The record is from RefSeq and is a predicted model, not a curated record. The transcript is spliced from 2 exons.
AGUCCUAUGCUAUGUCACAAGCCCAGUUGUUAAAUUUGCAAUUUCAGUUCUUAGAACUUUAUUCUCUACUUUCACUUUCUCUUUUGUCUUUCUUUUUAUUUUUUGCAAGUUCCACCAAUAGGAUUUCUUGGAAAGGAAAUCAUAAUCAGCACGUGUCUUCUUCUUUCUUUUGAUGGCUAUCCUAUUUAUUAUUUUACGACUAGGACUCUUAGUAGAGGAAUUGGGUUUUUCUAUCCCUUGGGGGAGUAUUUUUCUUUUAGUUGCAUUUGAGGUCUUGUGUCAAUUUCUCAUUUCUUGAAGGUUCAACUUCUGCCUCUAUUAUCCACCUUUUCCCCUUCAUGUGCCUUUUUAUCAAUGUUUUCCUUCACCAUCAAUAAAUUCUACAGUAACUGAUUCAUCAUGUACCCCAUACUUUGUUGUUCCCAUUUUGCUAUCCUGAAGAACUUCAACAAUUGCAACAAGAAAAUUUCUCUUCGUUCUCUUGAUCAUAGAUGCAUAUGGUUGAUUUGUUGAGACAGUUCGUGAUUUAUUCUGUGGUGGUUUUGGUAAGCAAUUGUGAAGUUGGCAUUGUCGAGCCUUUUCAAUUAGAAGAUGGAGUUUCUUGAUUUUAGAGGGUUUCCUUGCCUAAAUGUUUUAGAAGAGAUGUGAAUGAGAGAAUAUCGAAGAGGCUGAGUAUUUAAAGGGUGAUUUGAAUAUGAAAUAGACUAUGAUUUGAUAGUUUGAGUAUAAUUAAGAAGAUUUCAAAUCUUGUUCCCCCCGCCCCCUUGAUAAUUUGAACAUUGGAUGAUUAAGAGGGUUUUAUGGUGGCUUGUGAUUUUA